GAUGAAGAACGUAGCGAAAUGCGAUAAGUAGUGUGAAUUGCAGAAUUCAGUGAAUCAUCGAAUCUUUGAACGCACAUUGCGCCCUUUGGUAUCCCUUAGGGCAUGCCUGUUCGAGCGUCAUUUAAACCUUCAAGCUAAGCUUGGUGUUGGGUGACUGUCCGCUUCACGGCGGACUCGCCUCAAAAUUAUUGGCGGCCGGUACAUUGGCUUCGAGCGCAGCAGAAACGCGAACUCGGGCCCGUCGUAUUGGCUCCCAGAAGCUAUCUUCACAAUUUUGACCUCGGAUCAGGUAGGGAUACCCGCUGAACUUAAGCAUAUCAAUAAGCGGAGGA
This 332-nucleotide unclassified non-coding RNA is filed under the name soil metagenome. Its description in RNAcentral is "partial contains 5.8S ribosomal RNA, internal transcribed spacer 2, and large subunit ribosomal RNA". The stretch from base 1 to 120 matches the Rfam family "5.8S ribosomal RNA", at positions 35 to 154 of the family's 154-position model. The record is from RNAcentral.